RNAcentral lists this ribosomal RNA (292 nucleotides) under uncultured Alphaproteobacteria bacterium. RNAcentral describes it as "partial 16S ribosomal RNA". The record is from RNAcentral. Lineage: Bacteria; Pseudomonadati; Pseudomonadota; Alphaproteobacteria.
GGACUACCCGGGUAUCUAAUCCUGUUUGCUCCCCACGCUUUCGCGUCUUAGCGUCAGAAACCGUCCAGAUAGCCGCCUUCGCCACUGGUGUUCUUCCCAAUCUCUACGUAUUUCACCACUACACUGGGAAUUCCACUAUCCUCUCCGGUCCUCUAGUCAUCCAGUCCUGAAUGCAUUUCUUGAGUUAAGCUCAAGGCUUUCACAUCCAACUUGGACAACCGCCUACACGCGCUUUACGCCCAGUAAUUCCGAACAACGCUAGCCCCCUUCGUCUUACCGCGGCUGCUGGCAC